AGUGAACGCUGGCGGUAGGCCUAACACAUGCAAGUCGAACGGCAGCACAGUAAGAGCUUGCUCUUACGGGUGGCGAGUGGCGGACGGGUGAGGAAUACAUCGGAAUCUACUUUUUCGUGGGGGAUAACGUAGGGAAACUUACGCUAAUACCGCAUACGACCUACGGGUGAAAGCAGGGGAUCUUCGGACCUUGCGCGAUUGAAUGAGCCGAUGGCGGAUUAGCUAGUUGGCGGGGUAAUGGCCCACCAAGGCGAUGAUGGGUAGCUGGUCUGAGAGGGUGACCGGCCACAUUGGGACUGAGAUACGGCCCAGACUGCUACGGGAGGAAGCAGUGGGGAAUAUUGCACAAUGGGCGGAAGCCGGAUGCAGCAACGCAGCGUGCGGGAUGACGGCCUUCGGGUUGUAAACAGCUUUCGCCUGUGACGAAGCGUGAGUGACGGUAAUGGGUAAAGAAGCACCGGCUAACUACGUG
RNAcentral lists this ribosomal RNA (472 nucleotides) under uncultured bacterium. Its description in RNAcentral is "partial 16S ribosomal RNA". It matches the Rfam family "Bacterial small subunit ribosomal RNA", at positions 30 to 507 of the family's 1533-position model. The record is from RNAcentral.